This 1433-nucleotide long non-coding RNA is filed under the name Sus scrofa (pig). Its description in RNAcentral is "lncRNA (ENSSSCG00030032590.1)". Lineage: Eukaryota; Metazoa; Chordata; Mammalia; Artiodactyla; Suidae. The record is from RNAcentral.
UGCCUAUGUUUUCUUCUAGAAGUGUUAUGGUUUCAGGUCUUACCUUUUAAGUCUUUAAUCCAUUUUGAAUUUUUGUAUAUGGUGUGAGAAAAUAGUCCAGUUUGAUUCUUUGGCAGGAUAGCUAUUCAGUUUUCCCAGCACUGCUUACUGAAGAGUCUGUCUUUUCCUCCAUCAUAUAUUCUUGCCUCCUUUGUCAUAGAUUAAUUGCACAUGUAAAUGUGGGUUCAUUUCUGGGCUCUCUUUUACUGUUAGAUUUCUAGGUUAGAUACGAACAUGGAUACUGUCCUACAGGAUAAUAAAAACAUAAUCUUUGUGAUAAUCUUUUCUACUGGGUAUAAAUCUAUAAGUUAACAUGUAUCACUCAGUGUCUGCCUUCUAAUCAAACAGUCAGCAGGUAGGUCAAACACAGGUACAUUCUCUGGGAGCAUUAACUCAUCUUUGGGCAGUAUCACUAAUCUGUACUAUAACUCUGGAAGGAUGUACUGUACUCUCGUUUGCCUAUUUCCAAGUUCUGGAUAAUUUUUUUUUCAACAAAAGCCUGCAUCUCAACUGAGAUUGUCCUGUGUAUUCAUUUGCUCAUUGCCAGCCUCAAUCUACUAGAGUAAAACCUCCAUGAAGAUAUGGAUUCUGCUGAUCCUGAUGACCUCUGUGUCCUCAGAUUCUACUUUAAUUCCAGGUGCAAAUUUGUGCUUUGCAAGUGAAAUCUGGACAAUGGGAAUGCACAUGAGCAGAGAUGAUUGGGCACAGGAGAGCCCAGCAGUUUGCAGUUCAGCCACUGUGACUGUCUUUAAGUGCUUGUGACAUUGGACAUACCUGUGAACGCAGAAUUCCAGGGAAUACACAAUGCCAGGGGUUCAGCCAGAUACAACAUGAACACGAGGUAAGUGCCCGUGACACUGACAACCCUAAGAGGCCAUGCUUUCCAGUUGAAUCAGAAGUUGCUUCCAGUGCAGAAAGGACCAGUAAAAUUAAGGCUAAUAAUUUAAAAUUUUAAUUUAGUGGCAUUAAAUAGCAACUAAGAAAUACCAAAACUCUUAAGAGAAACACUGGAAAAGAAGAAAAAAGUAUUGUGUUUUAGUUCCUUUAAUGGUAUUUUUCCCCCUGCCUUUUGAGCAAGGCGUCUCUCGUUUUCAUUUUGCAUGUGGCUUUGCAGGUGGUGCUGGGAUCUGAAUCUUGCUGGUUAUUUGGGAAACCUGGGGCAACUCUCUUCACUGGGUGGAGUUGCAGUUGCCCAUCUGGAAAAUGGGGACGAUGUGUCACAGAGUUGUUGAGGAUUACAACAAGUAAGAGUUCAGGCAGCCAAAUCCUUGUCCACCCCUUAGAACAAGGCACUGUGCUCAGUGCUUUACUAUUUGAUCUCAUUUCUUCCUCAACAACGACCGAGUCAGUGGGUGUCAUUCGCCACCACAUUGGAUUUUUCUGAUAUUUUUGGC